Molecule: unclassified non-coding RNA, 221 nt
Filed under: Hevea brasiliensis (rubber tree)
Lineage: Eukaryota; Viridiplantae; Streptophyta; Magnoliopsida; Malpighiales; Euphorbiaceae
Source: RNAcentral
UGGUUUUACUGCCAGCCAAUGAUGGGUUCGAUGCAAGCACUGUCUAUGGUGGUGAAAAAGGCUGCAGCGGAUAACUGUGUUGGUUCUGCAGUCCUUAACCUCUUGCAAAGCCAGGCAAAGGCAAUGGCUGGUGAUCAUGUAGUGAGGUCUUUGCUGGAAAAGAUGUCACAAUCAGCAAGCACUGCAUAUCUUGGAAUAUUAGAGAGGUGGGUGUAUGAAGG